UUGUGCCUGUGUGUGUGGCCACUUCUGGUGUCAAAGGAAUACAUAAAAUAGCUCAUUUUUCAAAAUCUAUGUCCUGGAGCCAUUAUUCUGCUUCUGACCUACAGUCUGGGAAUGGCUGAUUUGGCUGCAGUGAAGUUUUCACUCUUAUUUUACAGCUCCUGGAAGAAGGCCAGGCACUGGAGAGAGCCAGCAGGAGUAUGAGCUACUGCCGUGUGUUGGGACAGCCUGAAAAUGAAUGUCAUUUAUUCUCAGCUUUGAGAACUGAAUUCCAUGGGUUGUAAUUGAAUCUGCUGUCAGACCCAUGGGGCUCAGUUCUUCAGCUUGGAUAUUUCUGUCUUCACAUACACAGGAGAUCAAAGAAGCACUUGAUCAUUCUCUACCUCUUCUGGUGAUAGCAGCAAGCAGGAGAGGAAGCACGAGUGCUGUGAAUCAUUUCAGCAGGGAGGGGUCACUGCAAAGGCUCUCUCAGGAUAAAUAGCUGUGCAGUGAUUGAAUCUCUGUGAUCUCACAGGCUCUGGGCUGCUACCCACUGUUUGAUUAGCUUGAUUCUUUCCUCUCAUUGUUAUCAAGGCUACAUCUGAAUCCCUGAGAUGGUGUAGAUUGGAUGAUGUCCCCAAACCCUGCUGAGGGGUGCAUUCUCCUGUGGUGAGCUCCUUUAGACUGUGGAAACCUGGACCUCCCUUGGGCCGAGCACUAAAUUUGCCAACUGAUAAUCCACUACCCUGCUCUCUUGGUACCACUACUGUGCAGUUAUUGCCUCAUUUGCUUUGUCCUGUGCCAAAUACCCAUUUUUGACAGAAGCUGUGACCAUAAAGUUUAUUCAUUUGCACCAGCCAACCAACCCACUUAUAUAAACAGAGAUUUCCUUUCCUGAGGUUAGUGAUGUGCUCCCAAAGUGUUUGGUUUAGGGAGUUUCCAGUGUAAUUAGUGAUGGCAAUGUAAGUGCUGUUUGAAGGCUUGGUAGCACAAACAUCCCUCUGUAGGGGAAUUCAUUCAAGUCACAGGUUGAUGUUUUUUCUUGCAGGACCUCUGUUAAAAGUUUUCAUUUUUCAUUCCAGGGAUCAGGAAAAGUAAUUGUCGUCUUUAAGCAUGUGAAGAGUUACAAUUAGCAACAAGCUUUCCACCUCUUUCCUGCAAUAAUAACACCUAAAUUACAUUUUUCCAACUCAGUAAAGUGGAUCAUAACUGAUCUUAUCCCCGUGUUACAAAGCUCUUAAAAGCAUAGAAAUGCUAAAAUCCUGCAGGUGCAGGAAGAGCAUGUUUAGCUAAGUAGCUUAAAACUGCUGUGUGCCUUUCAUUCUGAAUAUGUAUUUGCACACAAAAAAAUCAGAUAUUAAUCACUGUUGCCUGUGGAUACAGAUGUACCUUCAUACUGAUGUAUUUUUCAUAUAAAUUUUUAUCCUAGGGGUUGAAGAGUUUCAAUUGCAGCUGUCUGAGAUGUAUUGUUCUCACCAGUUUAGAAAUUACAGUUCUUGAAAGAGCUCACUGGUUCCACCAGCUCCUGCUGUGUGAAUAUCCAUUAAACAGGAUGGAGAAACUGAGCAAAGGACAAUACUGAAAUUUUUACUUUUUAUUUUCCUCUAUCAUCCCUGUCAGGAAGAGGAAAUGAAAUUUGAGAAAAGAGUUGGCAAAAUCUUCAAAAGAAGAGAGAUCAAUGGAACAAUUUACAGUAUGCUUGAUGCAGGCAGUGUGGUGGAUAUUAGGUGCUGCAGAGCUUCAUCCUCUUCCUUCACUGUGCAGCCCAGCCUGGGGGCAGUGAUGCAGCACAGAAGGUGAUGUGUGCAUGGCAACAAGGCCAUGGAUGAAAUCAAGCAGUACAGAAAUCUUUGGAGUCCCACCUAUGUGACAAAAGUGGUCUGCCUGGAUGUUUCUGUGCUCUCCAGUUGCUGCUCGCUGAGAGAACAGAAUGGAAUGAAUAGGUACAGAAUAUUUUGAAAGCAGAUGCAAGCCUGCCUUUCAGCCCUGCAGUGACCAUUCAGUGAGCUCUUCCUUGGGCCAGGCUACUGUGGCUGCCUUGGAGGCUUGCUUGCCCUUCAUGACAAAGCAUCUUCUUUUGGGAUAUUCUUGAUAUAUUUAAACCAGAGAAGCUUUCAAGGCCCAGGCUGUCCUGCUGACAUUGCUGUGCCUUUCCAGCACAACUGAAAGUAUUUUUAGUGUGCAGUUUCAAAGCAGUGUAACUUCUGUCUGUCUCAUUCUGCUGCCUCACAGUAUUCCUGUGUAUUCUGCCUCACUCUAACAGUGGCAGCCUCAGGAUGGCCCAGCCUGCACCUCACCCCCCCAGCCUGCACAGGAAGGAAUGCAGGGUCACAGAGCUGAAGGUAAAAUGACUCAGUGGCUCCUGGCCUGGGGUUCUGUCAGAUGUACAACACAUCAGGGUACAUUAAUGGAUCUAAAUCCUUACUGAAUCUACCAGCUCCAUGCACAACCACCAGAAGUUGAAGCAUCACAACUCUGAUCUGUUGAUCCAAAUGUUUAAUCCCAAAGAGAAAUUCUGAUUUUUCACUUUAUUUUUCAGUACAGAAGCAUUCAGGUGACUUCACUUGAAUUUUUUAGUGCUGAUAUAUAUUAAAACCUACUUUUUGGCACAAGUAAGGCUUUUCCUAUGUCUCUUUGAAACUGACCUGUGGCACCUUCUGGUGCUUAUUCACAGAUCUCACUCUCUUAAUUUUUUUCUGAAUAAAUCAAUGGGCUGAAUGCCCCUGGUACAGCUCUGGCAGAUGAGCAGGGCACCUACAUUUUGCAGAUGAGCAAACGGAGAGACCCAACACUUUAAAUGGAGAAGCCCUGAAUUCUCUUGCAUGGUUUUUGCUUUUGACUUGUGGUUUUCUGCUUACUAUUCACAACAAACAAAUGAGGACAAACACCUACAUACUUCUUCUUCUUCUUGUAGGAGCGUGCCCCAGUGCCACCACACUGCUUGUGUGGUUUGCUGCCUUCCCCUCCCUUGACUGAUAUUCUGUCCCCACUUCUGGGUUCUUGAUCCAUCCCUGCCUCUCUCAGGGCAUAUCUCUUGAAGAUUUUUUUUUGCUUUUCUGCCCUAUAUAUUGUGUAUUAUCUCUCUCCCUCUUUUUUAAAAUUUUAUUUCCUUUCUUUUAGCUCAUCCCCCAAGAUUUUCUUCUUGAUUCAAGAUAAUGCUUGAAUCUGGUGAAAAAAGCAAACCUCCUGUGCUGUAGGGUCUGAUGAACUGCUUCAAAAGCAAAAUGGGAGCAAACAGCAGAGCAGCACAGAGAGAGGAGCUGCAGCAGUCCCUGGUCUGUAGGUGUUGCUGUGUUUCCCUUUGCAGGAAAAUGCCGAGUUUGUGCUGGGUUCAGCAAUCCUGGUGUCUGCACAGCUGAGAGAAAUCACUUCACUGUGAGUGUGAGUGUGCCUCUGCAGCUUUGACAAGCCUCUCACCUGCCCUGGGGAAGGAGCAGCAGGGCUGGAAAGCUGUGAAGUCACAAUAUGCUGACUAAGAAUAAUUUUGGAUCAAACAAGCAUCAUUGGGAAAGGAAGCUGUUUCAUUUCAAGAUGUGGAAGGAAUUUUAAAUCACAUUUGAAAUAAAAUUACCUUGUCCAG
Long non-coding RNA from Passer montanus (Eurasian tree sparrow), 3556 nucleotides. RefSeq lists it as uncharacterized. The transcript is spliced from 4 exons. NCBI's taxonomy places the organism in Eukaryota, Metazoa, Chordata, Aves, Passeriformes, Passeridae. The record is from RefSeq and is a predicted model, not a curated record.